This 690-nucleotide ribosomal RNA is filed under the name uncultured fungus. Its description in RNAcentral is "eukaryotic LSU rRNA". The stretch from base 276 to 429 matches the Rfam family "5.8S ribosomal RNA". Lineage: Eukaryota; Fungi. The record is from RNAcentral.
CUUGGUCAUUUAGAGGAAGUAAAAGUCGUAACAAGGUUUCCGUAGGUGAACCUGCGGAAGGAUCAUUAAUGAAUUAAAGUCGGUCUUCUGUGCUGGUGGUGACACAUGUGCACGUUGAUCGCAAAUCCACACACCUGUGCACCUUUGACUUUAGGAUCCGCUUGUUGGCUUGUCUGACUUGCAGCUGAUGUUGGUUUUGUGCUCAUCUGGAUCUUAGAGUAAUUUUACACACUCUGAAUGUAAUGGAAUGUUCCUGUGCAUAAUGCGCAAAAUACAACUUUCAACAACGGAUCUCUUGGCUCUCGCAUCGAUGAAGAACGCAGCGAAAUGUGAUAAGUAAUGUGAAUUGCAGAAUUCAGUGAAUCAUCGAAUCUUUGAACGCACCUUGCACCCUUUGGUAUUCCAAAGGGUACACCCGUUUGAGUGUCAUUGUAAUCUCACUUCAUCAGCUUUGUUGAUGGAGGUGGACUUGGACUCUGUUGUGUCAUUACAACUGGUCUGAAAUGUGUGAGUGCACCCUGCUGUUGCAGCGUCCUCAGUGUGAUAAGCAUCUUCACUGAAUCAAGUUCCUUUGGGACACGUGUGUAAUGUGGGCUCUGUGCUGGCAAACUGUCUUUGGACAAUCUUGACAAUUUGACCUCAGAUCGGGUGGGACUACCCGCUGAACUUAAGCAUAUCAAUAAGCGGAGA